This is a long non-coding RNA of Oncorhynchus tshawytscha (Chinook salmon), 468 nucleotides long. NCBI's taxonomy places the organism in Eukaryota, Metazoa, Chordata, Actinopteri, Salmoniformes, Salmonidae. The record is from Ensembl.
AUUCAUAUGUAAAUAUUUGGAUGUGUCGUUCUGCUGAGGAACAGGAUGCAUCCGUGCGUCAGAGGCUGAUUGGCAAGACUGAAUCAGUGGUCCAUCUGGGCUGAGAGGGGAGGAAUGAAUUCCUGUUGAGUUUAGAGGCAGAGAGAAGAUGGAGAGGGAGAGAGGAGUAGGGGAGAAGGUAGAGGGGACAGAGAGGGAGAGAGGAGUAGGGGAGAAGGUAGAGGGGACAGAGAGGGAGAGAGGAGUAGGGGAGAAGGUAGAGGGGACAGAGAGGGAGAGAGGAGUAGGGGAGAAGGUAGAGGGGACAGAGAGGGAGAGAGGAGUAGGGGAGAAGGUAGAGGGGACAGAGAGGGAGAGAGGAGUAGGGGAGAAGGUUGAGGGGACAGAGAGGGAUGUGAGACAGAGGGGAGAGAGUUUAAGGGGAGGGAAGGAGGAGAGGGGAGAGAUGGGAAGACAGGGAGAGAGAGG